GAAAGCCACCCUGUGGCAGUCGAGUAUUAGCAAAGUUACUUCAGGCCUUUAAUGUUGGAUUUUCCUGUCACCACAAAGCAGAAUUCACCAAGUGUUGGUUGGUUCACUCAUUAACAGUGGACACCAGCUGGGUUUAGGUUGCCAUUAAACAAGUU
RNAcentral lists this non-coding RNA (155 nucleotides) under Columba livia (rock pigeon). The record is from Rfam by way of RNAcentral. Lineage: Eukaryota; Metazoa; Chordata; Aves; Columbiformes; Columbidae.